UUCCUACGGGACGCAGCAGUGGGGAAUAUUGGACAAUGGGGGGAACCCUGAUCCAGCGACGCCGCGUGAGUGAAGAAGUAUUUCGGUAUGUAAAGCUCUAUCAGCAGGGAAGAAAGAAAUGACGGUACCUGACUAAGAAGCCCCGGCUAACUACGUGCCAGCAGCCGCGGUAAUACGUAGGGGGCAAGCGUUAUCCGGAUUUACUGGGUGUAAAGGGAGCGUAGACGGCGAUGCAAGUCUGGAGUGAAAGCCCGGGGCCCAACCCCGGAACUGCUCUGGAAACUGUGCGGCUAGAGUACUGGAGG
RNAcentral lists this ribosomal RNA (305 nucleotides) under uncultured bacterium. RNAcentral's name for it is "bacterial SSU rRNA". It matches the Rfam family "Bacterial small subunit ribosomal RNA", at positions 336 to 655 of the family's 1533-position model. The record is from RNAcentral.